Molecule: unclassified non-coding RNA, 982 nt
Filed under: Hevea brasiliensis (rubber tree)
Lineage: Eukaryota; Viridiplantae; Streptophyta; Magnoliopsida; Malpighiales; Euphorbiaceae
Source: RNAcentral
CUACUCCAUCGAUCUCCCCAGCAGCAAGCUUUGGCCUUCAUUCUACCAGAUCGGGCACACUCACAUCUAAAGGAUCCAAAACCGAACUAUUUUCGAAAAGUGAAACUUGGAGGCUUCAUUCCAUCGCCUGAGCUCUCACCAAACCUGUACCUAUCCCCAUUCACCUCCCCUCAGCUCGGUAUUACACAAAAUCAGAUCCGAAGCCCACAUGCAUCGACUUCAGAGAUUUGAUCUAAGAAAAUGACGGUCUUUACAGUCGCGUGAGCACCAUUUUCCUACUUAGGGAGAGGACACAUGUCAAUGCAGGUGCUCGGCCCCCUCAAUAGUGACGGCGAUUAACCUACAGGUUCCAUCAAUGACGGCAGCUCGCCCGUGCAAUCAAGAACCAUCUCACUGCAAUAGCCGUUGGCACUAUCUGCUCGGUAUAUCUGACCUCCUCGUUCUGAUUACUUAGCCUCUCCUCCUCUUUCUUCUUCAUUGUCUUCUUCUUAUACAUCUGUGUCUGUGCAUGUCUUUUUUUCAACAUCUGGAAUUGAUCCACCUGCAGAAGGUGUUCAUCAUACCGAAAUAAAACCAGCUUUUUUUUAUGGCUUGUUCUAUUAAUUUCAUUCUGUUACAAUCACCGUGUGCUUUUAGUUGAUUUUUAAAUUUAAAUUAUGCAGUUAGAACUUUUGUUGUUAUCUCGUGCUACCCCACCAUGUGUCAACUAUGGAGGAAAAAAAAAAGCUUCUGUUCCUGGUGUAUGUGAAUUGAUGCUGAUUUUGAAUAAUUUGGUGAAGUUUUUGGAGAAUUUACAUGAUUAAUUAUGAUUCUGUGAUGUGGGUGUUGUUGAAUAUUUGGGAAUUCAUGGGUUUGGGCAUUUAUAUGAGGCUUUAAGUUUGCUGGCUGGUCUCUUUGUAGGAUUUAGGGUUCAAUUGUCAAGUAAAUUAGAGGUACAAAAAUUAUAAUUUAUGGAGAAUCAAUUUCUUUUCAUGAAAACACU